RNAcentral lists this ribosomal RNA (663 nucleotides) under Cuscuta obtusiflora. RNAcentral describes it as "eukaryotic LSU rRNA". The stretch from base 238 to 393 matches the Rfam family "5.8S ribosomal RNA". Lineage: Eukaryota; Viridiplantae; Streptophyta; Magnoliopsida; Solanales; Convolvulaceae. The record is from RNAcentral.
UCGUAACAAGGUUUCCGUAGGUGGACCUGCGGAAGGAUCAUUGUCGAACCCUCGCGGUAGAACGACUUGCUAACCUGUACCAAUUAUUGAUUCGAAUGUCGGGGCGCCGUCUUUCUGAUUUGCCCACGACGAACAAAAACACCGGCGCAGCAGCGCCAAGGAAUGUAAUAAUGAGUGUGCAACCUCGCAGAGCUUAGUUAUGCUGCCUGUGAGCUUUGCAUCCUUUUAAAUAAAAAUGACUCUCGGCAAUGGAUAUCUCGGCUCUUGCAUCGAUGAAGAACGUAGCGAAAUGCGAUACGUGGUGUGAAUUGCAGAAUCCCGCGAACCAUCGAAACUUUGAACGCAAGUUGCGCCUCAAGCCAUUCGGUUGAGGGCACGUAUGCUUGGGUGUCAUGCAUUAUGUCUCCCCUCUCGUGUGUGGAGUGGGAAUAGAUCCUGGCCUCCUGGGCCCUUCCUUGGGCGUGGUUGGCCGAAAAUGUUGUCCUUGAUUUUGUUGAUGUCUUGGUGUGCGGUGGAUGUGCCAGGUGUGCAUAGUUGCCAGCCUUGCUCGGCUUCAUUGUGGCGUCGGGAUCCUAUGAAGCUGCCGGUUUUGGCUCUUUGAUUGCGACCCCAAGUCAGGCGAGACUACCCGCUGAGUUUAAGCAUAUCAAUAAGCGGAGGAAA